RNAcentral lists this ribosomal RNA (487 nucleotides) under Luzaridella obscura. RNAcentral's name for it is "partial 16S ribosomal RNA". It matches the Rfam family "Bacterial large subunit ribosomal RNA", at positions 1833 to 2582 of the family's 2925-position model. The record is from RNAcentral. Lineage: Eukaryota; Metazoa; Arthropoda; Insecta; Orthoptera; Phalangopsidae.
CUUCUUGAACUAAUUAGAAGUCGUGCCUGCCCACUGAAGAAUUUAAAGGGCCGCGGUAUUUUGACCGUGCAAAGGUAGCAUAAUCAUUAGUCUUUUAAUUGAGGGCUGGGAUGAAUGGUUUGACGAAAUAAUAGCUGUCUUUUGGAUAUUAUUUGAAUUUUACUUUUAAGUUAAAAGGCUUAAAUGUUAACGGGGGACGAGAAGACCCUAUAGAUCUUUAUUUAUUUAAUGGUAUUUAUUUUUUAGUUGUUUUAUUAUUUAUUGUUGAAUAAAUUUUAUUGGGGUGAUAUGAGAAUAUAAGUAACUUCUUUUAAUUUAAGCUUUAAUGUUAGGGUUUUAUGAUCCUUUAUUAUGGAUUUAAGAUUAAGAUACCUUAGGGAUAACAGCGUAAUUUUGUUUGAGAGUUCUUAUCGACAACAAAGAUUGCGACCUCGAUGUUGGAUUAAGAUUAUAUGUUGGUGUAGAAGUUAAUAAUAUUAGUCUGUUC